Molecule: small RNA, 671 nt
Filed under: Histoplasma ohiense
Lineage: Eukaryota; Fungi; Ascomycota; Eurotiomycetes; Onygenales; Ajellomycetaceae
Description: hypothetical lncRNA
Source: RNAcentral
CUAGCAAUUAUAUCUCUUCAUAAUAUCAAAGUUGAUGGCUUCAAGUUACCAUAUAGCCCGUCCCUUGUGCCCUUCAUAUCUCGACGUGUAAGACGCUACGAACUGUGUUACAUCUCAGACGAAUUUCCCAGUCUAUACGUGAAGACUCAAUCCACUUAACUCACUUCCCUCCAUUCAUCCUCCAUUCAACAUGGUUUGCAAUCUCGGUUUCAGUUAGGUACCUCGGAAUGGGAGUUGAUUGUGUCCGGCCUUAAUCAACCGAACAAGGGGGACAAAUGGGCAUGUAGAAGUCAUUCUCCAUUUUGCUCGUGACCCAAGUAAAAUUCAACCACCUUGAAACAGAUGUGAGAUCCUCAGUUGUUGGGGCCGAUGACUCUGAGAGCAUUGAUAUAACCCGCACUAGACCGUUUAAUCACAACCAGACAAACACCUUCACCAUGCAAUGACCUCCUACAGGUUGAUACGGAUAACUACGAAACAAGCCACAGUAUUGAGAUGGAUAUCACCUGAAAGCUUCAAGAAUGGCAUGUCGAUUGCUUGGUUGUAUCCACGCACUCAGGUAGCGAGCAGAAAAAUCAAACUUAAAGGCGAUUGAUUGAUCUUAUGUGUGCAGAGAGGGGUUAAAGUACGACUUUCUGCUUAAGACAUACUUACCUUCGGCAGAAUUGGGU